RNAcentral lists this ribosomal RNA (484 nucleotides) under Yoshiicerus similis. RNAcentral's name for it is "partial large subunit ribosomal RNA". It matches the Rfam family "Bacterial large subunit ribosomal RNA", at positions 1826 to 2610 of the family's 2925-position model. The record is from RNAcentral. Lineage: Eukaryota; Metazoa; Arthropoda; Collembola; Entomobryomorpha; Tomoceridae.
ACAUUUCUUAUAGAUUAUUUUAUAAGUAAAGCCUGCCCACUGUUUAUAUAAAGGGCCGCGGUAUUCUGACCGUGCAAAGGUAGCAUAAUCAUUAGUCUUUUAAUUGGAGAAUGGAAUGAAUGGUUAAAUGACUUUUUUCUAUCUUUUUAUUUUAAAUUUUAAAUUUGAUUUUAAGUGAAAAUACUUAAUUUUUUUAAAUAGACGAUAAGACCCUAUAGAAUUUUAUUAUUAAUUUUUUAUUUUUAUAUAAAUUUAAUUUAAUUGGGGCAAUUGAAGAAUAUAUAUAAUUUCUUAAAAUUUUGAAUUUUUAAUAUCUUUGUUAAUAGUUUAAAAAAAUUACCUUAGGGAUAACAGCGUAAUUAUUAUUGAGAGUUCAUAUCGACAUAAUAGAUUGCGACCUCGAUGUUGAAUUAAAUUUCUUUAUAGAAGCAGAUUUUAUAAAAAGUAGUCUGUUCGACCUAUUAAAUUUUUACAUGAUUUGAGU